RNAcentral lists this ribosomal RNA (503 nucleotides) under uncultured bacterium. RNAcentral describes it as "bacterial SSU rRNA". It matches the Rfam family "Bacterial small subunit ribosomal RNA", at positions 36 to 518 of the family's 1533-position model. The record is from RNAcentral.
CUGGCGGCGUGCUAACACAUGCAAGUCGAACGCGAAAGGGAACUUCGGUCCUGAGUAAAGUGGCGCACGGGUGAGUAACGCGUAGAUAACCUGUCUUCAUGUCUGGAAUAAUACGCCGAAAGGGGUACUAAUACCGGAUAUUCUUGCUUUUCAUAAGUUAUGCAAGCAAAGGUGGCCUCUGCAUAUGCUACUGCAUGAAGAGGGGUCUGCGUACCAUUAGCUAGUAGGUGGGGUAAUGGCCUACCUAGGCGACGAUGGUUAGCGGGUCUGAGAGGAUGAUCCGCCACACUGGCACUGGAACACGGGCCAGACUCCUACGGGAGGCAGCAGUGAGGAAUAUUGCGCAAUGGGGGAAACCCUGACGCAGCGACGCCGCGUGAAGUGAGGAAGGCCUUCGGGUCGUAAAGCUCUGUCAAGAGGAAAGAAGUGUACAAUGGCUAAUACCUGUUGUAUUUGACGGUACCUCUAAAGGAAGCACCGGCUAACUCCGUGCCAGCCGCUGC